AGAGUUUGAUCAUGGCUCAGGAUCAACGCUGGCGGCGUGCCUAAUGCAUGCAAGUCGAACGGCUGGUCUUCGGACCAGCAGUGGCGAACGGCUGAGGAACACGUACGAACCUACCCGCUCGUGGGGAAUAACGCGCCGAAAGGCGUGCUAAUACCGCGUACGCUUGCCUUCGGGUAAGGAAAGCCUUCGGGCGCGGGCGGCGGGGCGUGCGGCCCAUCAGGUGGUUGGCGGGGUAAUGGCCCACCAAGCCGGUGACGGGUCGCUGGUCUGUGAGGACGAUCAGCCAGACUGGGACUGCGAAACGGCCCAGACACCUACGGGUGGCAGCAGCAAGGAAUCUUCGGCACUGGGCGCAAGCCUGACCGAGCAACGCCGCGUGGAGGACGACGGCCUUCGGGUUGUAAACUCCUUUCGGUGGGGACGAAACGGACGGUACCCGCAGAAGCAGCCCCGGCUAACUCUGUGCCAGCAGCCGCGGUAAUACAGAGGGGGCAAGCGUUGUCCGGAUUUACUGGGCGUACAGCGCGCGCAGGCGGUCUCUGACGUGCCGUGUGACAAGCCACUGCUUAACAGUGGAGGGCCACGGUAGACGGGGAGACUGGAGGCAGGGAGAGGGAUGUGGAAUACCCGGUGGAGCGGUGAAAUGCGUAGAGAUCGGGUGGAACACCAGCGGCGAAGGCGGCAUCCUGGCCCUGAACUGACGCUGGGGCGCGAGAGCGUGGGGAGCGAACAGGAUUAGAUACCCCUGUAGUCC
RNAcentral lists this ribosomal RNA (754 nucleotides) under uncultured Chloroflexota bacterium. RNAcentral describes it as "bacterial SSU rRNA". It matches the Rfam family "Bacterial small subunit ribosomal RNA", at positions 8 to 796 of the family's 1533-position model. Lineage: Bacteria; Bacillati; Chloroflexota. The record is from RNAcentral.